This 896-nucleotide long non-coding RNA is filed under the name Fukomys damarensis (Damara mole-rat). RNAcentral describes it as "lncRNA (ENSFDAG00000024316.1)". Lineage: Eukaryota; Metazoa; Chordata; Mammalia; Rodentia; Bathyergidae. The record is from RNAcentral.
AUGAAGGCCACAUUGCUCAACUCUGAAAUCCCAGUCCAGUGGGGUUUACUGAGAGCCGGUAUAUCUUUCAUCCUCCCAGCUCCUCCCUGCUCAGAGAAACCCUUCCUUACAAGGGUGCUGGCUUCUCAAAGGACGAGAUACUCCCCCACGCUGAGAAUGACACUUCCCACCAAGUGGAGGUUUACUUGGUUGAGCACCAGAAACCGAAAAACUCACGACUUUCCAAUGAUGAGCCUGACCAUUGUAACAGUCUUUGCAGAAGGAAAAUGAACAAAUCUUCCAAUGGGAAGAGAGCCACCUCUCCAGCGAUGAUCCCUUGCUUGCUUCCUCUCUCCAUGUCAGGAUGGCCUUGAGAGCACUGCUUUCCUCACACACACUUUUUCGCAGCCCACCAACCACUAAUUCUGCUACAGAAAGUCAAUUUGAAAACAAAGUACAGCAUGUAAAAGUCAUUACCAAUGAAAGGCUAGAAUGAAUUCACCCUCAAUUUGGUGAGAAAAGGUCAUUUUCAGAAGAGAGAGAUGAGGGGGAAGAGAAAGGGAAAUCACAAACGAAGGACAUGCCAAGUAUAGGGACUUCAAUGGGGUAAACUCACGCCGUAAAUGAGAGUUGAGAUUAAGACCAAGAAUGAAGACGGGGAAGGAGAAUUCAAGCAGGAGGCAGGGAGGGGAGACGAAAGGGCGUUAAAGACAUAAACAAGUUGUAUUCUGUACAUGUAUCCACACUGAAGAUUACUGUAAACUACAUGUACUAAUAAAAAAAUUUAAAAAUUGUGACUAAGUCAGGUAAGGGACACAUUAAUUCCCGUAACUGUGGCAAGCAUUUCAGUGUAAUGUGUAAUAAGUCAAUGCACUGUAUCUUACAUAGAUGUACUUUUAUUGUCAACUGUAAACUAU